AGGUUGUAAUGCACUUUUGCAAUUUUCAGGGGCUAAGCUGUAUUUUCUGGACUUAUCCCUUCACCCUUAGUGGAAUACACCUGCCCAAAGGCAGAGAUUCCAUUUCUCUUCUCUCCUUAUCAUCUAUUUUCUUCUCUUUCUCCCUUUAGACUAAAGAAGGGUUGAGGGGAAUUGAGCUGGCAGCUUGGAGGGUUGUAAGCUGAGAAGAAACCUGAUGUAAGCAGGAAAUUUUUGCUGAUUGGAAUUUCGAAAUUACUUGGAGCAACAUCUAAUCAAGGAUUGAAGGCUUGGUGAAUUGGUGGCAGCCUUGAACUUUCGGAUUUCAGAGGAAGCUUUAGAGCAGGGAGUUGGGUUCUGGAGCUGAGAAUAACUUGGAGUAAUGCCUAAUUAAGACUGGAGCUGAAUUCUGGUUGUUGGUGUUGCUCGAACAAAGGGAUCAACUGUGGAAGCUUAGAAACUGAGGAUAUCAGAAAUUAAGAAGGAUUGAGGAAGUGGAGGUUGGCAGCUUGGUGUUACAAGCUGAUUAGUGUUGAUGAUGCUGCCGAAAUGAUGAGAGGGCCAUUUGAUGCAGGGAAUAAGUUAAUUUCGCAUCAAGUGAGAAUUUGAGCUGAAUUCCUGCCGUUUGAGCUAUUGGGCAGGAAACUUAAAUACUUUGAGCUAAGAGCAGCUUGGUGGACUACUACAUUAAGUCAAAAUCUGAAAUUCAGAUUGAUUGGUGUGGUCUAAGUGGAUAGUAGCUAAUGGAGCUUGAGAAUUAAGGUAGAUUACUCACCUUAGCUAAGAACUAAUUUCAACUACCAGGGGAGUGAACUUGGAGCAUUAAGUUGAU
This is a long non-coding RNA of Ananas comosus (pineapple), 829 nucleotides long. RefSeq lists it as uncharacterized. The record is from RefSeq and is a predicted model, not a curated record. The transcript has 6 exons. Lineage: Eukaryota; Viridiplantae; Streptophyta; Magnoliopsida; Poales; Bromeliaceae.